GGAUGCGUUCAUACCAGCACUAAUGCACCGGAUCCCAUCAGAACUCCGGAGUUAAGCGUGCUUAGGCGAGAGUAGUACUAUGAUGGGUGACCUCUCGGGAAGUCUUCGUGUUGCAUCCC
This 119-nucleotide ribosomal RNA is filed under the name Arabidopsis lyrata subsp. lyrata. Lineage: Eukaryota; Viridiplantae; Streptophyta; Magnoliopsida; Brassicales; Brassicaceae. The record is from RNAcentral.